RNAcentral lists this ribosomal RNA (465 nucleotides) under uncultured bacterium. RNAcentral's name for it is "partial 16S ribosomal RNA". It matches the Rfam family "Bacterial small subunit ribosomal RNA", at positions 338 to 795 of the family's 1533-position model. The record is from RNAcentral.
CCUACGGGGAGCAGCAGUGGGGAAUAUUGCGCAAUGGGCGAAAGCCUGACGCAGCGACGCCGCGUGGGGGAUGAAGGUCUUCGGAUCGUAAACCUCUGUCAGCAGGGAAGAACGGUCACUGUGCUAAUCAGCAGUGAAUUGACGGUACCUGCUCAGGAAGCACAGGCUAACUCCGUGCCAGCAGCCGAGGUAAUACGGAGGGCGCGAGCGUUAAUCGGAAUUACUGGGCGUAAAGCGCUCGUAGGCGGUAUGUCAGGUCACGUGUGAAAGCCCCGCGCUCAACGUGGGAACUGCCGUUGCAACUGGCAGACUGGAGUGAGGGAGAGGAUAGUGGAAUUCCAGGUGUAGGAGUGAAAUCCGUAGAUAUCGGGAGGAACAUCAGUGGCGAAGGCGACUAUCUGGAACAUAACUGACGCUGAGGAGCGAAAGCGUGGGUAGCAAACAGGAUUAGAUACCCGUGUAGUC